This 406-nucleotide ribosomal RNA is filed under the name uncultured bacterium. Its description in RNAcentral is "partial 16S ribosomal RNA". It matches the Rfam family "Bacterial small subunit ribosomal RNA", at positions 30 to 526 of the family's 1533-position model. The record is from RNAcentral.
AUCGAACGCUGGCGGCAGGCCUAACACAUGCAAGUCGAACGAGUGGCGGACGGGUGAGUAAUGUAUGGGAAACUGCCUGAUGGAGGGGGAUAACUACUGUAAACGGUAGCUAAUACCGCAUACCAUCAGAUGUGCCCAGAUGGGAUUAGCUUGUUGGUGGGGUAACGGCGCACCAAGGCGACGCUCCCUAGCUGGUCUGAGAGGAUGACCGGCCACACUGGAACUGAGACACGGUCCAGACUCCUACGGGAGGCAGCAGUGGGGAAUAUUUGACAAUGGGCGAAAGCCUGAUGCAGCCAGGCCGCGUGUAUGAAGAAGGCCUUCGGGUUGUAAAGUUCUUUCAGCGGGGAGGCGUUACCCGCAGAGGAAGCACCGGCUAACUCCGUGCCAGCAGCCGCGGUAAUAC